Xenia sp. Carnegie-2017 is the source of this 634-nucleotide long non-coding RNA. RefSeq lists it as uncharacterized. The record is from RefSeq and is a predicted model, not a curated record. Lineage: Eukaryota; Metazoa; Cnidaria; Anthozoa; Malacalcyonacea; Xeniidae. The transcript is spliced from 4 exons.
UGUGCUCCAAAUUGACUGAAAAUAAAAUUGUUCAGCAUACGCCAAUUUGAAAGCAUGUCCAUAAUUAUUCACUAUCAUCCAUUGUAACCACUAUCAACAUCCUAAUGUCGUUGGUCAAAAAUAGUCACAUGAUGUUUGAUUUACUUUUGCCUUUCAUUCAUGUCAUUUCUAGAUAUCAAUUUUCUUAUUCGUCCAAAGUUCAAUCAAUAAUGAAAAGAUAUUUAUUGUAAAUUUUAUUAUAGCAAAUGAACGUGACGCCAAGAGUUUGUAAAUCCCAUGCAAUUUUUCGUCGUGGUAUAGUGAACUAACUAUCUCGACCUUAUUUAAACCUGAACAUUUUUACGAAGAUGGUUCGAAGUUCUCUGCAAUCUCUCACCAGUUUAAAGAAGCAAAAAACAAAGUGGGAUCUUUAAAUCAAGAUCCAGGGAAUGAAUUGAAGUCAAAGAUGUACGCCCUUUUUAAGCAGGGUUCUUUAGGCAAAUGUAAUACACCAAAGCCUGGGACUUUGGACUUUGUUGGAAAGACAAAAUGGAAUGCAUGGAACGAUUUGGGUGAUUUAUCACAGGUAGAUGCACAAAAACAGUAUAUAGCACUUGUGGAGACUUUACUAGGACAAGAACCCAAGACCAACAGC